RNAcentral lists this ribosomal RNA (198 nucleotides) under Triticum aestivum (bread wheat). RNAcentral's name for it is "partial small subunit ribosomal RNA". The record is from RNAcentral. Lineage: Eukaryota; Viridiplantae; Streptophyta; Magnoliopsida; Poales; Poaceae.
AUGGUGCGGGUGGCGACCUUCUUCGGGAUGACCUUCGGCGCGUUCCUCUUCUGGGAGUCCAUGGACAAGGUCCACGUCUGGAUCGCCCUCCACCAGGACGAGAAGUUUUUCUACGUUACCGAUGAUCUGCUCAGGGAUUACAAUUUACAUCUCGAUCUUUUGAAAAAAGAAAGAAAUGGAGAUAGAAAUGAUUCUUAA